RNAcentral lists this ribosomal RNA (478 nucleotides) under uncultured bacterium. RNAcentral's name for it is "partial 16S ribosomal RNA". It matches the Rfam family "Bacterial small subunit ribosomal RNA", at positions 28 to 523 of the family's 1533-position model. The record is from RNAcentral.
AACGAACGCUGGCGGCGUGCUUAACACAUGCAAGUCGAACGGUAAGGCCCUUCGGGGUACACGAGUGGCGAACGGGUGAGUAACACGUGGGUGAUCUGCCCUGCACUUCGGGAUAAGCCUGGGAAACUGGGUCUAAUACCGGAUAGGACCACUGCCUGCAUGGGUGGUGGUGGAAAGCUUUUGCGGUGUGGGAUGGGCCCGCGGCCUAUCAGCUUGUUGGUGGGGUGAUGGCCUACCGAGGCGACGACGGGUAGCCGGCCUGAGAGGGUGACCGGCCACACUGGGACUGAGAUACGGCCCAGACUCCUACGGGAGGCAGCAGUGGGGAAUAUUGCACAAUGGGCGCAAGCCUGAUGCAGCGACGCCGCGUGAGGGAUGACGGCCUUCGGGUUGUAAACCUCUUUCAGCACCGACGAAGCGCAAGUGACGGUAGGUGCAGAAGAAGGACCGGCUAACUAUGUGCCAGCCGCCGCCGUAA